RNAcentral lists this ribosomal RNA (498 nucleotides) under uncultured bacterium. RNAcentral's name for it is "partial 16S ribosomal RNA". It matches the Rfam family "Bacterial small subunit ribosomal RNA", at positions 28 to 523 of the family's 1533-position model. The record is from RNAcentral.
GAUGAACGCUAGCGGCAGGCCUAAUACAUGCAAGUCGAACGAUACCAGAGAGCUUGCUUUCUGGGAAAGUGGCGCACGGGUGCGUAACGCGUAUGCAACCUACCUUAAUCAGGGGGAUAGCCCCUCGAAAGAGAGAUUAACACCGCAUAACAUCAUUUUACGGCAUCGUAGAAUGAUCAAAUAUUUAUAGGAUUAAGAUGGGCCUGCGUUACAUUAGCCAGUUGGUGAGGUAACGGCUCACCAAGGCUACGAUGUUUAGGGGAUCUGAGAGGAUGACCCACCGCCCUGGUACUGGGACACGGACCAGACUCCUGCGGGAGGCAGCAGUAAGGAAUAUUCGUCAAGAGAGGCAACUCUGAGCCAGCCAUGCCGCGUGCAGGAAGACGGACCUAUGGGUUGUAAACUGCUUUUAUACGGGAAUAAACCUCUCUACGUGUAGGGAGUUGAAUGUACUGUAAGAAUAAGGAUCGGCUAACUCCGUGCCAGCAGCCGCGGUAA